Molecule: ribosomal RNA, 253 nt
Filed under: uncultured bacterium
Lineage: Bacteria
Description: partial 16S ribosomal RNA
Rfam family: Bacterial small subunit ribosomal RNA
Source: RNAcentral
UACGUAGGGAGCAAGCGUUGUCCGGAAUCAUUGGGCGUAAAGCGCGUGUAGGCGGCCCGGUAAGUCCGCUGUGAAAGUCCAGGGCUCAACCCUGGGAUGCCGGUGGAUACUGUCGGGCUCGAGUCCGGAAGAGGCGAGUGGAAUUCCUGGUGUAGCGGUGAAAUGCGCAGAUAUCAGGAGGAACACCAAUGGCGAAGGCAGCUCGCUGGGACGUGACUGACGCUGAGACGCGAAAGCGUGGGGAGCAAACAGG